RNAcentral lists this non-coding RNA (180 nucleotides) under Anoxybacillus sp. Lineage: Bacteria; Bacillati; Bacillota; Bacilli; Caryophanales; Anoxybacillaceae. The record is from RNAcentral.
CUAAAUGGCCCAGUCCAAGGCUCCCUGCGGAUGAAAAGGGAAGACCGGUGAGAUUCCGGCACGGUCCCGCCACUGUAAUAGAGGAGCUUUCCGCUUUACUGCCACUGAUCAAAGAUUGGGAAGGCGAGCGGAAAGCAAUGAUCCUUAAGUCAGGAGACCUGCCUGUUCUGACAACACUGC